AUGGAGCAAUUGGAGAAGAGGAUGGAUGCUGCAGAACAACAAAUCAAAGAGUUGCGUGAAGAUCUUAAUCGGAGAUUUGGUCAGCUGGUUGAGAUGAUAAGAAAGGGUGUCCCCCCUGCUGCCGAUGAAGGAGAUUCAUCUAAAGAAGAAGAUGUUCAACAAAGAAGGAGAGGUAAUCUUGGAGCAAGACCGCCACAACAACGUGCUAUUCAACGUGCUUCAAGAAGGCCAAUUUAUGUUGAAGCUUCUGAAGGUGAAGAAUAUGAUGAUGCCCUUGAAGAAGCAGAUCUCUACGCAUAUCGGAGAGUACCCAACCCUACAUAUGCAAGAGAUACAUACAAGGUGAAAGCUGAGAUCCCAACUUUUAAUGAAAAUGUUGACAUUGAAGGGUGCCUGGAUUGGUUAUAUGAAGUGGAGACUUUCUUUGAGGUCAUGGAGGUUCGGGAAGAUCGUAGAGUUCCUUUGGUCGCAUACAAACUGAAAGGAGCCGGUGCAUGGUGGCAUCACGUUCAAGAGGAGCGCAGGCUUAGAGGAGAACCUCGUGUUAGAACUUGGCGACAAAUGAAAGGCCUCUUGAAAGGGAGAUUUUUGCCCGCUGAUUAUGACCAGAUCCUAUUUAUCCAAUUUCAAAAUUGUGCUCAAGGAAAUAGGACUGUUUCAGACUACACGGAGGAGUUUCUAAGGCUACAAGUGAGGUGCAACCUUGCUGAAACUGAAGAGCAACAAGUUGCAAGGUACAUCAAUGGUCUCAAUGAUGCUAUUCAAGAUCGAUUGAUGAUGCAGAAAAUCUGGUCCGUUGAUCAAGCACAAGCUCUAGCCUUAAAGGCCGAGAGGUUUGUGAGGAUGAGAAAGAUAACUAAGGCUCCAUAUCCUUCAUAUCCUCAUACCGAAGGCUCAUCUAGGAGCCAACCUAAUAGAGUGGAAGAAAAGACCACUCCACCAAAGACAAAACAGCCCAUCCCGAAGCAAACUAGAGGCAAGGGUAAGGCAAAUGAAGGCCCAAAGUGCUAUAAAUAUGGCAAAGAGGGACACAUAUCCAGCGGCUGCCCACUAAGGAAAUUUGUUAACACGACUAUCCAUGAUGGUGAAAGCGAUGAGGAAGAAUACGAAUCUGAAGAUGUAGACGGACAAGAGGUUUGUCAAGAAGAAGGUGAAGAGGUGGUAUGUGUGAUCCAGCGUGUCCUAUGUUCCACACCACAACUCGAUGACACACAACGGAAGAAAAUAUUUGAGAGCAAAUGCACGGUGAAUGGCAAGGUAUGCAAACUAGUGAUUGAUAGUUGCAGGUACGAGAAUCUUAUCUCCCAGAAGUUGGUGGACCAUUUAAAGCUUGAAACCCAUGAUCAUCCAAAUCCCUACACUAUUGGAUGGAUCAAGAAAGGAGUGAAUAUGAGGAUCACCAAACAAUGCAACCUGCCACUUUCUUUGGGUAAGCAUUAUCGCUCAAAUGUGUUGUGUGAUGUGGUUGACAUGUAUGCCAGCCAUGUUCUUCUUGGGAGGCCUUGGCAAUUUGAUGUGGAUACUACACACAAGGGCAAGGAAAAUUCUUACUCUUUCAUUUGGAACAAGAGAAGGAUCAUUAUCUUACCAAACAAACCCGAAGGUAAUACCUCUAAGGAGGAGGGGAAAACUAUGUUAACUAUCUCCCAUACCUCUCAUGAGUUUAUGGAAGACUUGAAGGAGGCAGAUUUGUGUGCUGCACUUGUUGUAAAGGGAGAAGAGCACCUGACUGUUGAAAUUCCAGCAAAGGUACGUGGUUUAUUGGCAGAAUUUCAGAACAUACUUGGGGAGCCACAUGGCUUGCCACCGAUGAGAGGAAUUCAACAUAGAAUUGACUUAAUUCCGGGAGCAAGUCUUCCUAAUCUUCCACACUAUCGAAUGAGCCCAAAGGAGCAUGGUAUAUUGAAGGAGAAAGUGGAGGAAUUGUUGCAAAAGGGGCACAUUCGAGAAAGUAUUAGCCCAUGUGCUGUACCAGCCCUACUCGCGCCAAAGAAAGAUGGAUCUUGGCGCAUGUGUACGGACAGUAGAGCCGUUAACAAGAUCACCGUAAGGUAUAGAUUCCCUAUUCCCCGUCUGGAUGAUAUGUUGGAUCAGCUCAGUGGAGCAAGAGUGUUCACAAAGCUAGAUUUAAGAAGUGGAUAUCAUCAAAUCCGUAUAAGACUCGGGGAUGAAUGGAAGACCGCCUUCAAGACAAAGGAAGGGUUGUUUGAGUGGCUAGUCAUGCCAUUUGGACUCUCAAAUGCACCAAGUACCUUUAUGCACUUAAUGAAUCAAGUCCUUAGACCCUUCUUAUCCCACUUUGUUGUGGUCUAUUUCGAUGACAUCUUGAUCUAUAGCAAGGAUGAGGAUGAACACUUUGAUCACAUUCGGAAGGUGCUAGAAGUACUAAGGGAAAAUGAGCUCUACGUCAACUUGAAGAAAUGUGUUUUCCUGCAAACACAACUUCUUUUCCUAGGAUUCGUCAUAACAUGUGACAGCAUUCGUGUUGAUGAUUCUAAGGUUGAAGCAAUCCGAGAAUGGCCAACUCCUAAGACCAUUUCUGAGGUAAGAAGCUUUCAUGGCCUUGCAACUUUCUAUAGGCGAUUUGUUAAGAAUUUCAGCACUAUCAUGGCACCAAUUACCGAGUGUUUGAAGAAAGGAAAGUUCCAAUGGGCAGAAGCAGCUGAAGCUAGCUUCAAUGAGAUUAAACAAAAGCUAUCACAAGCUCCUGUCUUGGUACUACCUGAUUUCAACAAGACUUUUGAGUUGGAGUGUGAUGCAAGUGGAGUAGGCAUUGGAGCUGUCCUAUCUCAAGAAAGGAAGCCCAUUGCUUUCUUUAGUGAGAAGUUAAGUGAAGCUAGACAGAAAUGGAGUACCCAUCAACAAGAAUUAUACGCCGUUUUCAGAGCGUUGAAAACUUGGGAAGUCUAUUUGCUGCCUAAAGAGUUCAUUGUUUAUAGCGACCAUCAAUCCUUGAAGCAUUUUAGAAAUCAAAAGCAUGUUGACCGCAUGCUAGCAAGACGGGCAGCAUAUCUUGAGAGGUUUAACUAUCUCAUCGUGCAUAAAUCUGGAAUAACUAACAGAGUGGCCGAUGCUUUGAGUCGUCGUGCAUGCCUCUUGACUUCUUUUGAAGCUGAACUUCCGGGCAUGGGUCAAAUAAAGGAGUUGUAUGAGGGUGACGAAGACUUUGGCCAUGUUUGGGUAAAGCACGCAAGGGGCCAACCAUUAGGUGAUGACUAUUUGAUGCAAGAUGGAUAUCUCUUCAAAAAUGAUCUAUUGUGCAUUCGAAGAAGUUCUUUACAUGACAAGCUGGUUAGAGAGCUCCAUUCAAGUGAUCUUAGUGGCCAUGUUGGACGGGACAAGACUAUCACUAACCUGGAAGCUCGCUACUUUUGGCCACAACUAAAGAGAGAUGCUGGAAAGUUCGUUCAACGGUGCCCCGUAUGUCAGACCUGCAAAGGCCAAGUCUAG
This 3450-nucleotide ribosomal RNA is filed under the name Triticum aestivum (bread wheat). RNAcentral describes it as "partial small subunit ribosomal RNA". The record is from RNAcentral. Lineage: Eukaryota; Viridiplantae; Streptophyta; Magnoliopsida; Poales; Poaceae.